CGGCGGACGGGUGAGUAACACGUGGAUAACCUACCUAUAAGACUGGGAUAACUUCGGGAAACCGGAGCUAAUACCGGAUAAUAUUUUGAACCGCAUGGUUCAAAAGUGAAAGACGGUCUUGCUGUCACUUAUAGAUGGAUCCGCGCUGCAUUAGCUAGUUGGUAAGGUAACGGCUUACCAAGGCAACGAUGCAUAGCCGACCCGAGAGGGUGAUCGGCCACACUGGAACUGAGACACGGUCCAG
Molecule: ribosomal RNA, 244 nt
Filed under: uncultured Staphylococcus sp.
Lineage: Bacteria; Bacillati; Bacillota; Bacilli; Caryophanales; Staphylococcaceae
Description: partial 16S ribosomal RNA
Rfam family: Bacterial small subunit ribosomal RNA
Source: RNAcentral